CAGUCGCCACGGUAAUACAGAGGGUGCGAGCGUUAAUCGGAUUUACUGGGCGUAAAGCGUGCGUAGGCGGCUAAUUGAGUCGGAUGUGAAAUCCCCGAGCUUAACUUGGGAAUUGCAUUCGAUACUGGUUAGCUAGAGUGUGGGAGAGGAUGGUAGAAUUCCAGGUGUAGCGGUGAAAUGCGUAGAGAUCUGGAGGAAUACCGAUGGCGAAGGCAGCCAUCUGGCCUAACACUGACGCUGAGGUACGAAAGCAUGGGGAGCAAACAGGAUUAGAGACCCCAGUAGUCCCUGUCUCUUAUAC
This 301-nucleotide ribosomal RNA is filed under the name uncultured bacterium. RNAcentral's name for it is "partial 16S ribosomal RNA". It matches the Rfam family "Bacterial small subunit ribosomal RNA", at positions 509 to 807 of the family's 1533-position model. The record is from RNAcentral.